Molecule: unclassified non-coding RNA, 348 nt
Filed under: soil metagenome
Description: partial contains 5.8S ribosomal RNA, internal transcribed spacer 2, and large subunit ribosomal RNA
Rfam family: 5.8S ribosomal RNA (bases 1-120)
Source: RNAcentral
GAUGAAGAACGUAGCGAACUGCGAUAAGUAAUGCGAAUUGCAGAAUUCAGUGAAUCAUCGAGUCUUUGAACGCACAUUGCGCCCCCUGGCAUUCCGGGGGGCAUGCCUGUCCGAGCGUCAUUACUGCCCAUCAAGCGCGGCUUGUGUGUUGGGUCCUCGUCCCUCCCGGGGGACGGGCCCGAAAGGCAGCGGCGGUACCGUCCGGUCCUCGAGCGUAUGGGGCUUUGUCACCCGCUCGAUUAGGGCCCGGUCGGCGCCAGCCGUCAACCCCCAAUUUUUUUUUAUUCAGGUUGACAUCGGAUCAGGUAGGGAUACCCGCUGAACUUAAGCAUAUCAAUAAGCGGAGGA